GGAGAGUCCAACUGGGUGCCAGUGAGCAUGUGUGCUGCCAUUACUCAUGUGAUCAUUAAGAGCCACAUCUCCAAGAGGAGGCAUGAGGAAAUCAGAAGAGGGAGCUCUGACUGUGCUAAUAUGGCCAUACUGGGACUUGUGUUGGAGAUUAUGGAUGUGUUUGUGGAGGGUUCAGAGCAGUAUAAGAAGCUGAAAUAUCCCUGGGUGUAUGCAGCCCUGCUCAGCAACAACUCAA
RNAcentral lists this long non-coding RNA (235 nucleotides) under Coturnix japonica (Japanese quail). RNAcentral's name for it is "lncRNA (ENSCJPG00005011137.1)". Lineage: Eukaryota; Metazoa; Chordata; Aves; Galliformes; Phasianidae. The record is from RNAcentral.